RNAcentral lists this long non-coding RNA (712 nucleotides) under Equus caballus (horse). Its description in RNAcentral is "lncRNA (ENSECAG00000048886.1)". The record is from RNAcentral. Lineage: Eukaryota; Metazoa; Chordata; Mammalia; Perissodactyla; Equidae.
CCAGCUCCUCCUUCCGCUGGAGCUGACAGCCCCCAAGUGUUCAUUUUGUGAUUUGUUGCUGCGUCGACAGACCGCAACCAAACUACACAGGCAUUGCCCCUUUCUGUUCUUUGACAUCUGACUGGGGUGUUGGGACUUAGAAGUGAGCUGUGCGGGUCACCAGAGUAGGAUUAGAGUCAAAUAACAAACCCUAAAUUUGGAAAGAGAGCAGCUGCGUGAAGGCAAUUUGGGCAGAUUGACAGUCUGGAGUGUUCUCCAGACCAGCAGCAGCAACAGGAUUGCCGCAGACAUGUUGGAAACGCAGACUCUCAGCCCAUCCUAGUCUUGUCAAGCUGAAACUCAGUUGUCUGGAACGGAACCAGCAAUAUCUCCAAGAAUUGACUUGGAAACAUCUCAGAACUGACCUGUAAAAGUGCAGCUACAGAAUCUAUAAACUGGAGAAUUUUCUUGACAAAGCGACCGAAAUGUUUUGUCCUCAAAGCAAUGGUAAAAAAAAGUUUGUUUUACGCUUCUUAUGUACUACGCUAAAAAAUAGCGACAAUGUGGAAAUUGACCAUGGGGAGACAGAGCGUUCUGGAAAUUGUUUUUUUCUUGACUUACGAAUAGCCCUACGUGAGCCUCUGGUCUCCGGACACUGACUCCAUCAGUACCGGGACGGCUGCCAUCAAAGCGCCCUGGAAGGCAGGCGGCAGGAAAGCCGACCUAGUCCAAG